UACGGAGGGUGCGAGCGUUGUCCGGAAUCACUGGGCGUAAAGGGCGCGUAGGCGGCCUGAUAAGUAGGGGGUGAAAUCCUGCGGCUUAACCGCAGGGCUGCCUUCUAAACUGUCAGGCUCGAGCACAGUAGAGGCAGGUGGAAUUCCCGGUGUAGCGGUGGAAUGCGUAGAGAUCGGGAAGAACACCGGUGGCGAAGGCGGCGAGCUGGUCUGGUACUGACGCUGAGGCGCGACAGCGUGGGGAGCAAACAGG
RNAcentral lists this ribosomal RNA (253 nucleotides) under uncultured bacterium. Its description in RNAcentral is "partial 16S ribosomal RNA". It matches the Rfam family "Bacterial small subunit ribosomal RNA", at positions 524 to 776 of the family's 1533-position model. The record is from RNAcentral.